RNAcentral lists this ribosomal RNA (253 nucleotides) under uncultured bacterium. Its description in RNAcentral is "partial 16S ribosomal RNA". It matches the Rfam family "Bacterial small subunit ribosomal RNA", at positions 524 to 776 of the family's 1533-position model. The record is from RNAcentral.
UACGUAGGGUGCAAGCGUUGUCCGGAAUUAUUGGGCGUAAAGAGCUCGUAGGCGGUUUGUCGCGUCGGCUGUGAAAACCUAGGGCUCAACUCUGGGCUUGCAGCCGAUACGGGCAAACUAGAGUUCGGUAGGGGAGACUGGAAUUCCUGGUGUAGCGGUGAAAUGCGCAGAUAUCAGGAGGAACACCGGUGGCGAAGGCGGGUCUCUGGGCCGAUAUUGACGCUGAGGAGCGAAAGCGUGGGGAGCGAACAGG